CCCCUCUCUGGAUUGCACCUGGAGAGUUUCCAGUACCCUACCAGUCUCGGCUACAGGAGGGAGAGUCAAGCCGAGGCCUAUCCAUUCCAUUCCUAGCUUGGCCAGUGGCUAGCGAGUGGAAGGCAAUCUGCUACAAGU
RNAcentral lists this small nucleolar RNA (138 nucleotides) under Ornithorhynchus anatinus (platypus). The record is from RNAcentral. Lineage: Eukaryota; Metazoa; Chordata; Mammalia; Monotremata; Ornithorhynchidae.